GCGCAGCCGCGCCGCAGCUUCUGGCGCUUUUCUCCCUGCCGUGAUGGCAGAGGAAAAACGCAGUUCGAUGGGGGUUGAGGGAGGAGAAAAUUACGUCAAUUGGAAAAAGACGAAGAAAACCAAGGAAAACUUCUCUAUACCCAGCAAACCUCUGCUAAGCACGAUAUGUUUGCAUUGGAGAGACGGGGUGUCUCAGGAGCAGAGGCAAGCAAACUACACAGUCAGAGCAGCACAGAGUUAUGAGUUUUAUUUGGCAUGUGCACACACACAGGUAUCCAUUUUUGAUAGCCCCAGAAGAUGGCAAGCAGAAACUCCCUAAGCAAGUGCAAUAGGAGCACUAGUAAGCUAAACCAGAAUCUCUCUAAGCAAGCACAAUAUUACUUACUGACCUUGAGAGAGGGAUGAAAUUUUGGGAAGGAGUCUGCCUGCAGUGCUUUCAAAACAUGUCAGCAGGGCAUUCCCUGCUUCAAAGUGCAUCUUUCCUCUCUCCUCCACUGCAGCCUCUCUCCUGCUUCUACUCUCUUCAGAGUCUGCAGCAUUUUUUUCCACCUGCAUGCUGUAUCCAUGCAGCCAACACAUGAUACAGAGCCCAAGCGGAACACCUGCUUGCAAAACAAAUCCUUGUAAAACAAGAUAAGUUAGCAAGGUUUCUCCCUAAUUAAAAAUCAAUAAAAUAAGAUGAAAGGAACAUUUAUUUGCAUCUACAGCCUUUAAAACUGUCAGAAUACUUUGUUCCAUCCCAGGAUCAUUCUCCUGUUGGGCCUCUAGACCCUUUCCAAAUUCAUCUAUUUUCAAAUUGUAAUCUUUGAAAGCUGACACCAUUUUCUUGCAAAGCAUUAAGCAUGGGGCCAUGCUAUUUGUCUGCACUGCACUACGCCCUCCCUGUGCCCCUUGGCCAGGCUGGGCUGCUCCAGGAGGCAGAUGAUGUGGCAGGGUGAGCAGGCGGAAGUGUGAGCUGAGCUGGGCUGUGUGUGUCCUGUGGGUUUCAGGUAGGACAAGCCUAGAAUCUUAGUAGAAUUGGUUUUUAGCCUUACCAAAUAAAAACCAAACCAAACAAAAGAAAAAAA
Molecule: long non-coding RNA, 1067 nt
Organism: Lagopus leucura (white-tailed ptarmigan)
Lineage: Eukaryota; Metazoa; Chordata; Aves; Galliformes; Phasianidae
Exons: 2
Source: RefSeq, a predicted model, not a curated record